GUAGGUCACGAGCGUUAUCCGGAAUUAUUGGGCGUAAGGAGUGAGCAGGCGGCAUGGCAAGUCUGAGGUGAAAGCGUGGGGCUCAACCCCAUACAGCCUUGGAAACUACCAAGCUAGAGUGCGUGAGAGGUAAACGGAACUCCAUGUGUAGCGGUGAAAUGCGUAGAUAUAUGGAAGAACACCGGUGGCGAAGGCGGUUUACCAGCAUGACACUGACGCUCAGUCACGAAAGCGUGGGGAGCAAAUAGGAUUAGAUACCCUAGUAGUCCACGCUGUAAACGAUGAUAACUAACUAUUUCCGUAAGGGAGUGGUGAAGCUAACGCAUUAAGUUAUCCGCCUGGGAAGU
Molecule: ribosomal RNA, 347 nt
Filed under: uncultured bacterium
Lineage: Bacteria
Description: bacterial SSU rRNA
Rfam family: Bacterial small subunit ribosomal RNA
Source: RNAcentral